Long non-coding RNA from Bactrocera dorsalis (oriental fruit fly), 168 nucleotides. RefSeq lists it as uncharacterized. The transcript is spliced from 2 exons. The record is from RefSeq and is a predicted model, not a curated record. NCBI's taxonomy places the organism in Eukaryota, Metazoa, Arthropoda, Insecta, Diptera, Tephritidae.
GCGUGGACGGUCGCCCAGCAGUCAGCAGCAAUAGGUAGUGGUAAGUGAAGUAGCUAGUUAUGGUAGACAUUGCGUUGAAAAGGUAGCACACCAAUCGGUGUGUUACCAGUGCACGCAAUUAGAGUUAGGUAUUCUGUUAGGCCUCGCAGGCAUUGCGUUGAAAAGGUA